RNAcentral lists this ribosomal RNA (440 nucleotides) under uncultured bacterium. RNAcentral's name for it is "partial 16S ribosomal RNA". It matches the Rfam family "Bacterial small subunit ribosomal RNA", at positions 339 to 792 of the family's 1533-position model. The record is from RNAcentral.
CUACGGGACGCUCCAGUGAGGAAUCUUCCACAAUGGACGAAAGUCUGAUGGAGCGACACCGCGUGAAGGAUGAAGGCCUAACGGUUGUAAACUUCUUUUCUGAAGGAGCAUAAUGAGAGUACUUCAGGAAUAAGGGACGGCUAAAUACGUGCCAGCAGCCGCGGAUACUACGUAUGUCUCAAGCGUUACCCGGAAUCGCUGGGUGUAAAGGGUUCGUAGGCUGUUUGAAAAGUUGGAUAUGAAAGACCGGAGCUCAACUUCGUGUUUGUAUUCAAAACUGUCAAACUAGAAUCAGGGAGAGGUAAGCGGAAUUCUAAGUGUAGGGGUGCAAUCCGUAGAUACUUAGAGGAACACCAAAAGCGAAGGCAGCUUACUGGAACUGUAUUGACGCUCAUGAACGAAAGCGUGGGGAGCGAAAAGGAUUAGAUACUACCCUUGUA